This 72-nucleotide transfer RNA is filed under the name Synura sphagnicola. RNAcentral describes it as "tRNA-Asn". It matches the Rfam family "tRNA". Rfam says of the family: Transfer RNA (tRNA) molecules are approximately 80 nucleotides in length. The record is from RNAcentral. Lineage: Eukaryota; Synurophyceae; Synurales; Mallomonadaceae.
UCCUUAGUAGCUCAGUGGUAGAGCGGUCGGCUGUUAACCGAUAGGUCGUUGGUUCAAUACCAACCUGAGGAG